Molecule: ribosomal RNA, 421 nt
Filed under: Fusobacteriota bacterium
Lineage: Bacteria; Fusobacteriati; Fusobacteriota
Description: Fusobacteria bacterium partial 16S ribosomal RNA
Rfam family: Bacterial small subunit ribosomal RNA
Source: RNAcentral
UGGGGGAUAUUGCACAAUGGGCGAAAGCCUGAUGCAGCGACGCCGCGUGGGGGAUGAAGGCCUUCGGGUUGUGAACCUCUUUCGCUCGUGUGCAAGCCGCUAUUUGGGUAGUGGUGAGUGUAGCGGGUAAAGAAGCGCCGGCUAACUACGUGCCAGCAGCCGCGGUAAUACGUAGGGCGCGAGCGUUGUCCGGAUUUAUUGGGCGUAAAGGGCUUGUAGGCGGUUUGUCGCGCCUGUCGUGUAAUCCUCUGGCUUAACUGGGGGUGUGCGGUGGGUACGGGCAAGCUUGAGUGCGGUAGGGGAGAUUGGAAUUCCUGGUGUAGCGGUGGAAUGCGCAGAUAUCAGGAGGAACACCGGUGGCGAAGGCGGGUCUCUGGGCCGUUACUGACGCUGAGGAGCGAAAGCGUGGGGAGCGAACAGG